Molecule: ribosomal RNA, 434 nt
Filed under: uncultured Clostridium sp.
Lineage: Bacteria; Bacillati; Bacillota; Clostridia; Eubacteriales; Clostridiaceae
Description: partial 16S ribosomal RNA
Rfam family: Bacterial small subunit ribosomal RNA
Source: RNAcentral
ACGGAAGGCAGCAGUGGGGGAUAUUGCACAAUGGGGGAAACCCUGAUGCAGCGACGCCGCGUGAGUGAUGAAGUAUUUCGGUAUGUAAAGCUCUAUCAGCAGGAAAGAUAAUGACGGUACCUGACUAAGAAGCACCGGCUAAAUACGUGCCAGCAGCCGCGGUAAUACGUAUGGUGCAAGCGUUAUCCGGAUUUACUGGGUGUAAAGGGAGCGUAGACGGCAUGGCAAGCCAGAUGUGAAAGGUGGGGGCUCAACUCCCAAGCUGCAUUUGGAACUGUCAAGCUAGAGUAUCGGAGAGGUAAGUGGAAUUCCUAGUGUAGCGGUGAAAUGCGUAGAUAUUAGGAGGAACACCAGUGGCGAAGGCGGCUUACUGGACUGUAACUGACGUUGAGGCUCGAAAGCGUGGGGAGCAAACAGGAUUAGAUACCCUGGUA